UGAGUAACGCGUGGAUAACCUGCCUUGAGGCUGGGGAUAGCCGUUAGAAAUAGCGGGUAAUACCGAAUAAGUCUGAGCGCUGAUGAGCGGUCAGGGAAAGGAGCUAAGGCUCCGCCUUAAGAGGGGUCCGCGUCCCAUUAGCUAGUUGGCGGUGUAAAGGACUACCAAGGCGAAGAUGGGUAGCCGGCCUGAGAGGGUGAACGGCCACACUGGGACUGAGAUACGGCCCAGACUCCUACGGGAGGCAGCAGCUAAGAAUAUUCCGCAAUGGACGAAAGUCUGACGGAGCGACGCCGCGUGGAUGAGGAAGGCCGAAAGGUUGUAAAAUUCUUUUGCGGAUGAAGAAUAAUCGGUGGAGGGAAUGCCAUCGAGAUGACGCUAGUCCGUGAAUAAGCCCCGGCUAAUUACGUGCCAGCAGCCGCGGUAACACGUAAGGGGCGAGCGUUGUUCGGAAUUAUUGGGCGUAAAGGGCGCGUAGGCGGUUAAUCAAGUCUGACGUGAAAUACAUGAGCUUAACUCAUGAACUGCGUUGGAAACUGGCUGACUAGAGUCACGGAGGGGGAAUCGGAAUUCCUGGUGUAGGGGUGAAAUCUGUAGAUAUCAGGAAGAACACCGGUGGCGAAGGCGGAUUUCCAGCCGAUGACAGACGCUGAGGCGCGAAAGUGCGGGGAGCAAACAGGAUUAGAUACCCUGGUAGUCCGCACUAUAAACGAUGCACACUAGGUGUCGGGUCGAGCGAUUCGGCGCCGGAGCGAACGCGAUAAGUGUGCCGCCUGGGGAGUAUGCCCGCAAGGGUGAAACUCAAAGGAAUU
Molecule: ribosomal RNA, 812 nt
Filed under: uncultured bacterium
Lineage: Bacteria
Description: bacterial SSU rRNA
Rfam family: Bacterial small subunit ribosomal RNA
Source: RNAcentral